AAUUUUUAAGAAAAAUAAUUGCUAAUUCCUCAGGCUGAAUAAUUUUUUCAUAAUUUCUAGAAAGUGCUUUCUAAAUAUAGAUGGAGAUAGAGAUAUUAGUCCUACGAGCACUCGCCCUCUGACCCUGUGCUGAUCCUUACUUAGACUGGACCAUAAAUAUUUUACCAGAUCUCCAUCUGUCCUUAGGACAGUGAACCUUCUCAAACUUCCCAGAAAGCUUUUAGUAGCUUUAAAAUGAUAAUGCUGCAUUGCGAAGGCCUGCCUUCGAGCAAGUGAACUCAGUGUUUUGUUUUAAAUUGCCAUUAUUUGACAAGAAGAUUUGGGUCAGUAGGUUUUCCCAUAGGAAUACAGUGUAGCUGCAAGACUUCUGGAAAUCCUCCCUUUAAUCAAUACUACCUUUUACUUUACACUCCAAGACUGCUUUGCCUUCUGGUUUCCCUUUUAAAUUAAAUUUGCCCCGAAUUUUAAAUUUUCUUGAUACCGUUCAGAUCCAGUUAAACUUACCAACCUAGACUAACUGCAUUGGGGGCAGGGUGGAGGGCAAUCUCGGAUGAAUUAGAGACAAACCUGUAUUCCUGAAUAUUUGGAAAGUAAUGCUACAGUAGCCAAUCAGGUAUGGUAGUUAUGUCUAUUUUCAAGGAUCCACAGAAGCAAGGCCUCAGGUCAAGUGGCCUAACAGCAGGCCCUGGGCAACAAUUUAGCAGUCGACAGGCUUGCCCAGCAAGCAGCUCCAAAGACUGGAGUUGCUUUUUUGAGCUAAAGCUUCAGUUGGACCACAAGUGUCAGAGGCACAGCUGCAAAUAACAAACUUUUGGGAUGACAGAUUGUUAUGGGUUGAAUUGUGUCUUCCCCAAAAAAGAUAUGUUGGAGUCCUAACUCCUGGUACUUCAGGACGUGACCUUAUUUGGAAACAGGAUCUUUACAGAGAUACUCAAGUUACGAUAAGUUCUUAGGGUAUACUCUUAAUCCAAUAUGACUAGCAUCCUUAUAAACAGGGGAAAUUUAGACACAGAGAUAGGCACGCACAGAGGGAAAUCCACGGGAAGACACAGGAAGAAGAUGGUCAUGUGAAAGACACAGGAGCGGAGUGAUGCAUCUACAAAGCAAGGAACAUCUGAGGCUACCAGAAGCUCUUUCCCUAGUGCCUUCAGAGGAAGCAUGGCCAUGCCAACACCUUGAUUUCAAACUGCUAGCCUCCAGAAUGAGAGACAACACGUUCCUCUUGUGCUAAGGCACACAGUUUGUGGUAUUUUGUCACGGCAGCCUUUGGAAACUAAUACACAACUCCAGGCACUAUGCACAGGGAGAAAUUUUGGUAUCUCGGGUGCAAGGGUUGUCAUGUCCUACACUGGCCCUUCUAGUCACAUCUGCAUGCUCAGACCUUCAGCAUGGUCAGUAGCAUCAUCUUUGAAAUGCACAGGAACAAUACACAGGGUACAUUCCACAUUUCUUCUCUGAAGAUGCACAUUUUUACUUUACUAAAUAUUAGGAGACUUCAAGUUGUAUUCUGGCUGUGUGUAUGGUGUGUAAUAAAGGAAGAGUAAUGGUUGUCUGGGUAAAACUGACGAGUUUGUGAGCUAAAUAAGUCAAGGAAUCAGUGAAGAAAUCAUAACUGCCUCCUAGCCCCAAUUCAUUCUUUAUAAAUAAUGAAGAUGUCUUAUUGGGUGAUAUGAAAUUUCAUCAGAAGCAUAUUGAGGGACUAUAACUAUGCAGAUGUUGUGAUGCUAUGCAACUAGUGGGGUUCAAAAGUGGCUAAAUGAUGAUGAUAAUGACUUUGGAGAUUACAGAUCACCUUGACAAACAUGUGCUGGGCACUUUGGGUUGGUAGAAACUGUAAAUAGUCUGCAUCCGGAUCCAGUCAACAUUAAGUUAAAUGCCAAUACAAUCAAUUAAGUAAGUAGAAGAUCUUGGUAUAUAUCAAGGAGGCCAGUAAAACAGAGACAAGGAUUCUUUCCAUUUUACCUACACCUAUCCCUUUUUCAUACACUGCACGUGGGCUGAUAAUGCACAUGAUUGUGUGGGAGAAAAAAUCAUCAAAACAAAUUUAUUGAAAUUUGGUAAGCAUUACACUUUUAGUUGUAUUUCAUACUAUUGUCAUUUAUUCAUUCGACAAAUAAUUACUGAGCUGCCAUCAUAUGUGUGCUAGUCAACCAAGACUCAUCCAUUCUAGGAAGAGCUUAUGAAUACUAAUGUCAGAAGGAGCUGAUACUGUGACUUCAGUCCCAGAGGUCAAACACACAGAGUUCUCCAGAAAAGCUUUGGGUCUGUCAUAGAAAAUCUGAUGGUUUAUUAAUUUUAAAUUCACAGAAGCACUUGAUACAUUUUGCAUCCUAACUUUACUCCCAGGGAAAAAGAAGUUGAAAUAAAUGGUGUCUAGAAAAUACAGAUAUUUCUCAUUCCAUGUAUGUUUCUCAUUUAGGGAAGUUUGUUUAUUUUUCUGCAAAGUAUAUAUUAGCAAAACUUUAGUUCUCAUUUAAUAGCAGGAAGAUGACAGCUGAAAGUUUGGUAGAAGAGAAAUGUUCAGUACUAAUAUAGUUAUUUUGAAGGAAGGGGGAAAGUAACAUGACAUACACUGUACACCUCCUAUGUGCAGAGUUUUCUAGAAUUCUCUUAUUUAAACCUUACAGCAAUCCUAUGAAAGGGACAUUUGCCCCCCUCCUCCUCCUCCUCAUUAUCAUCACCAUCACCAUUAUUUGUAUUAUUAUCACCCUACAGAAGAGGAAACUGAAGUUCAGAGAGGGGAAGUCACUUACCUGAGGCCACACAGCCAGUAAGAAGCCACUUCAUACCCUUCUACAUUGCAAAAUGCUGCCUCCAAAGUACAGCCUCAAAGAAGUCACAUAGGUUGUAACCCCUGCUCACUAAAUGUAGGCUUAUACGUUUGCCCUGGUAUUUUAUUAAUAACAAUCUAUAGUGUUUAUAACCCUAUAGACUACUAAAUAUGUUCUUUUUAUUUCAUAAUCCAUUCCACUUACGUCUUGUGUUUUCUUGUGAUAUAUUUUACAUCUGAGGAAGUUUAUAUUUCAAAAUGAUUCAUUCUUCUCUGCCAACUGCAAGGCAAGACUGCAAUAAAUGUUCUCUUGAUCAAGAGUGUGUAUUUGUGAGCAGAAAGAAAUACUAUCUAAAUUCACAUCAUGUUUUGGACCACCACCAACUAAUACAUUGACAUGCCAAUAUACUGGAUUGUUUACAUACAAAGUAAAUGUCAAGCAAAGGGAAAAGCCUUUUGUCAGUUACUAGAUAUUCCUCUUACCUUCUGGGACAUGUCAGAUUGAAGCAAAACGCGCCUGCUUCAUCCUGUCAUUACAUUUGACCUAAACUUCAUUUAAAAGACUGGAGAAAUCAUUUUAAAGCUGUAGUAUUGAUUUGGCUUUAGAAAAGUAUUUGCCUUGGAAUCUGAUUUAAGUCUUGCCCCACAUUCACUUGUCAAGAAUGUAACAACAGCUUUACAAAUGAAAGUACAAAGGAGACAUUUAAUUCUACUUUCAUUCAAAAGAAGAUUUUAUGGAAGCAGACAAAUUGGAAGGGCAACAAAUUGCUCUAGCACCCAAUGGCUUGAAUGCUUGCCUCGGCCAGUUUAUCACUGAUCUAGUCAGGACACGGCCAGGACAUUUACUGCCCAAUGGUAAGGAGCACGUUUAAAGGCCUGUUGACAGCUGAUAUUAAAGCUUUCCUUAUGUUUAUCUUUUUCUUCCUCUUUCGACAAGAGAUUCCUCUUAAGAGCCUUUCUGGUUCUAUGAUGCUGAUCGACUGUGGACUGCAGCCCUACUCACCCCAUGAAGAAGCCAGGAUUUCCAGUAAGAUGUCCCCCUCUCCCAGUGAGAUCAAAGGGACACAGACAGAGGCACUCCCCCAGCUAGUGGGUCUUUACACCGGCCCUCCAGGGUGCUGGGGACUGCUGAGCUGGCCUUACUACUGUGUACACUUGAAAGAACACCUCACUCCUCCUGAUCGCUACUGGUUUCUAUAGAAACAAGAAAGAAUCUGUUCCUUUGCUAAAAUUUUCCCCUAAAGCUUUUUCUAGCACUGUAUAAAACAUUUAUUUUUUGCUAUCGCAGUCCUCCAUUUAGAGCGUCAUUUAACCGAUCAAAGAACAAUGGGCUGAGUAAAGAUGAGCAUGUGCUUCGUUUUCAGAAACCAAAUCCUACGUACAUUAAGCAGCCAUGGUCAGUUCAUCUCUCCUGGGUCACUUCAGAACUCAAGCAUUUUAGAGUAAAUACCUGAAACAAUGGUAUACCAGAGACUGAAAAGGGGUCAACAAGGUAUUUGCUCAACCACAAGCUGACUUUUUUCACUUCGGAACACUUCAGCAGUUACAGUAUUUAAAUGAACUCUGCCUCAUCGGUGUCACCAUAAAUUAUCCUUGAGAAGUCCAGAGCUCCUGACCACAGAAACGUGAGUCACGACCUUGAUGCCUGUGUGGCUUUGCUUUGAGAUAACGGCUGGGUUUCCCUGCUUUAUUAUUGUGUGCCCUUCUCCAGGGACCACAUUUGCUCAGAAGUAGCUAAGGCUAGUAAACAUUGUAACCGUCCUCUUGUAAUCACCAAGCAAACAGACUUGCCCUCCGUCACAUAAAACCCCCAGAGCUGUUAGGUCAUGAAAGAGGUAUUGAAUUAGGGCUGUGCUUAAAAACUGAGACUGGGAAUCUCUGUGGCAUAAAUCAAGACUAAAUCCGCUACAUGCCUGCACAUGUCUAGUCUCCUAUCAGAUUCCAUUCAUUUAUUCCUGCCUCAAUAAAUAUUAAUUGAGUGCCAACUAUGUGCCAGUCACGGAGUUUUAAGCACUGCAGGUAAGGUGCAGUACUGAGCAACAGACACAGUCCCUGUUCAUCUGGAAUUCACAGUCUAGCACGGGGGACAGGCAUUAAACAAACAAUCACACAAAGAACUAGAAUCACAAGAAAUGCUACGAAGCAAAAAAAAAAAAAAAAAGGUAUCGAGAGUCUACGAGGGAGUCUAACCUAGUCUAAGGGACCGCAGACGCCUGGGUGUGCUGGCACCUUGCUUAUAAAGAGCUACAGAGCAGGGUUCGACUUCAGGUGAAACUAACUUGAAACUUGUGCAUAUUUUGCAAAAUCACAGGACUGUCAGAGAUCUUGAGAGGUGAAUGGCUCAGCUCUUCAGGACAAAAGGUUUUCUCUAUCUGGAGAUUCUUAAGGAUGGGGGCCUCACAGACUUCCUUGGUGGCUCAUCUGGUGUUUGAAAACACUGUAAGUAAGGAAGUUCUUUCUUAGCUACCAAGAUGUCUAAAGGACCACACAAUAAAGUAAUUCACCCAUAAGGUGGUCUUCAGCUGGGGAGACAGGGAAUGCAACUGUCAGUGAAAUGCUGUAUUUCAUGUUCUGAAUCAAAUACAGACUGAGCACCAGAGUCUGAGGACUGACUCUCUACUCCCAAAGCGUGUAUACAAUAAAACAAACACAUCCUUGGUGUUGAUGACGAUCCGGUUUUGCUAUUCAUGCAACCAUUUUCAUACUUAUUCUUUUUUCUUUGAUUCUGAAUCUGAACUUCUAGGACAAAGUUGGUGUCUGGUUAAACAAGAGACACUUAUAUACAAAUGUACGGUAGUAAAGAGCAUGAGCUUGGAAGUCAGACACUUGGGGCUUGAACUGUGAUUGUACCACCUAUUAGCAGAUACCCUUAGGCUAAUCGAAUUAUAUUUCUGAGUCUUGGUUUGCUUAUCUGUGAAAUGGGGAUAAUCAUAACUCAUGAAGUUGUGGUAAAUAUUAAAUGAGAUAAUGCAUGUAAACUCUGGCACAGUGCUUGGCAGAGAGUAAACAUUCAGGAAAUGAAGGCUUAGGAUAUGCACACAUCUGACAAUGUACUUCUAACUGACAUAUACUUUUAUACAUAUUUAUGUAUAAAUAUGUAGGUGUGUGUAUCUACGUACCUUACUGAAUAUAUAUACACAUCCAUAUCUACACAUAUAUACUUCUGACAGCCUUGUUCAUCUUUUUUAUCUCCAGGGUUGAGCUCUGAACCCAGCACAAAGUUGUUACGCAACAAAUGGUUGUUGGAAGAAGGGAAAAUAGGAAUAAAGCUAUAUUUUAGAGUUUAAAAAUAUGGAGUUCUGUGUUAACAUGCUAUCUUCAAAGACAUGUUAACUGUGUUGACAAGAGUUUCUACCUGUACUUUUGCAGUAACUUUGGACCCAAUCCUUCUGUUGGUUGUGAACAAUUUCAGUGAAAUAGAAAUAAUUGUAAUCAAAUGCUCAGAGCCAUAAACCUAUGAGUAAGCAUAUGGAUUACUACAUUAUAUUCACACCCCUAAGGUUUGAUAAGCACCUUAGGAUGAAAAAAGCUAAUAAAUAUGAGAUUUAUUUUUAUCAUUAUUAACUUAAAAUGAAAAAAGCUAAACAUAGCAGUGAACCCAAAAGCUAAAACUAACAUAUCCAAACAACUAUGUAUUUAAAAUUAUUAUGGCUAAUGACCUUAAAAUUUUUCUAGCUCUGUUUCCUAGGAAUAAAAACCAAAUCAUACCUAAUAAAAAUACUCAUAAAUUUUUGCUGUUGAUGCCUUUGGGAGGAAUAUUGAGUAAAGUGCUUGAAAGAAGUCAGGAUUUUUUACAACCUAAGAAAAUAAAAUACAGGGGAUACAGAAUUUGUUCUUAUCAUGCAUAUAUUAAGAAACGAGAGAUGAACAUAAUGCUCUUCCACGCACACAGAAAUAUUCAAGUAUUCGACUAUAUACUAUGGUGAAGUACGGGCUGUAGUCACAAAGCCAAGCAAUGCCAGAUUCCUGGGUUGAGACUAACUGUCGGGUCAUUAGAAUAAUGUGCCCCCAUCAUGCCCACGAUUCUACUGAUAACAAGCAUCCACGCUCUUUCCUCUUCAUUUCAGUUCUGCAUAAUGUAUCAGAGCUUGCAUCUGUUUCGACCUGCUGUAAAGAGCAGAGUAGAGAGCAGCCAACUCUUCACAUAUCCUCCUUCUGACGCAGAGGAAGAGGAUGAGAAAAGGGCUCAUGAUAUUAUUGCAAUUCCACUUAGGCAUGCACUAAACCUCUAUUGAGCAUUGCUUUGUGGAAUGCACUAUCUAGGGACAGUGGAAGAUCGGUACAGGGUAGUUGUAUGAAACGGCCAUAAAAAAUGAACAUAACAUGAACCAGAGGAAAGUAUAAAGUCAGCCUAGGGAAAUACAGGAAGGCUGCUUGGAGGAGGUUGCCCUUGAGCUGAACACUGAAGGAUAAUUAGGCUAUAGGAGAUGGGGGGGAACAGAGAUGUCUUACUGACCAUCGGAAGAGCAAGAGGAAAGGCACAGAAGAGGAAUGAAGAAAUGAAGAAUAGGUGAUUGAGAAUGUGCAAUGAUGUAAAACGGCAGAGCAGAAGGAGGGGUGGAAAAGGCAGGUGAGACCACGUCAAGAUGCCUCCAAAAUAGCGUGCUGAGUCACGUGGAUGCUUUUGUCUCUAAUCAAGAAGGAGCUACCAAAUGCUUUGGAGGAAAAUAGCUUUCUUCCAGACAGUUCAUUGCCUUGAUUGCAUCAAAUGAAUGAGGCAGCUCCUCCAUAAUUACAUAGGCAUUUUGGACUUCCCUUUCUUAAUAAUUUCUUUAUUAGUUACUGAAUAUAGUCUAAUGAUAGUAUAUCUGUCAUCCUAAGUGUCUUAGACAUGUACAAAAUAUAUAUUGAAAAUCUAUCCGGGAUUGAAUUCAAAUGAUGAACUGGAGUUGAAAUUUCGUCCCACACACUGGAUUGCCAGACGGUCAGGUAAGUGCCAUCUUUCCACAGUGAGGGAGGAACUAUUUACAGUGUGCUUGUUGUUUUGUUCUAUUAUAUUUUUCCCUCCUGGGUACACUGAGUUUUCCUUCCCAGUCUGAAGAGAGCCCCUUGUUCUGAUUCCCUUUUCAUAUCCCCUUCAUUUUCAUGAUACCCAUUCGAAAUGAAAGGCAGACAAGUUCUAAAGUGGGUCCAUUGUCUUUCCUUCCUUCCUUUCAACAAGCAUUUACCAAACGCCUGUCACGUGCCAGACACUGACAUUGACACAAGACGCGCGAAGAGGAAUAAGAAAGAGUGCCCUGGAUACCCUCAAGUAGCUCACACUCUCAUGGGGGAGACAGCCCAGGCUGAAAUUCAGUUCCAAGACUUUUGAAAGCCUACAAAUGAGUGUGUGGAACGGAAAGGAAAAGGUACCAUUCACGUGCUACAAACGGUUUUAUUUUAUUCUUGUCUCACCAAAGAUAAAACUUCAAUCGUUCUUUGGCAAAGACUAGUCCUUUGUUUUGGAAAAAUCAUCUCAAUGGACUCUUUGGUUACAUAAACAUAAAGCAUAAUAAAUGGCACCACUGUCACCCUGGCCACGUGAUACAAAAAUUGAGAGAGCAUGCCCCAUUCCUCCCUUUCACUCACCCUCUAGCCACCACACACAUUGGAUCCAUCAGCAACUCCUGCUGACUCCACCUCCAACAUAUCUCCUGCAUCCGUGCACUUCUCUCCAUCCCACACAUACCACCAUCAUCUCUCACCUGUCCCACUACAACAGCCUCAAUAGCUGGCCUCGCCUGCCUUUUUCUUGGCCUCCCUACAGUGUGUUCUCCAUGCAGCAGCCACAAUACCCUUUUGACAUGUAAACCAGAUCAUGCUUUUUCCCUGCUUCCUCUCUUCCAAUGGCUUCCCACUGCAGGUAGAGUAAAAUUCAAAUUGCUUAUCUCAGCCUUUGAAGUACCCACUGAUCUGGACCUUGCCUACCUCCCUGACCUCAUCCUCCAUAAGGUUACUCCACUGAUCAAGGCUCAUUUUGUUCCUUGCACAAGCCAAGCAUGUCCCUGCCUCAGGGCCUCGUGUAAUUGCGCUAUCUCCUCGAACAGCUUCCCCAAGAUCCUCACUUGACCAGCUUCUUCUCAUCAUUCAGGUCUCAGCUCAAACAGGACCUUCUCAGAUGACCCAGGCUUAAGUCGGUCCCACCCGCUUCUGUAACUGUGUCACAUCAUCCUAUUUUACUUUCUCCAAAUCAAUUACUGCACCCCAAAAUGAGAUGGUUUCUGUCUUUGUUGAUUUUCUCAUGUCUGCCCACUCCAACUAGGAAUGGAAGCUCUGUGAAAACAGGCACCAGGUUCCCUACUGGGCCCUCAGCACCUAGCUCAGGGCCUACCAUUCAGCAGGCCCCUUGCAAGAGGCAGAAAGGGCGGAAAAGGACAGAAGGAGGAAAAGAUGAGAAAGAGAGGAGAGAUGGGAGGAAGAGUGACAUCUACUUUUCUUAGGAAUAUGGAUAGAAUCACCUUCAACCCGAAGGCACUUUUUUUCAGGUUUGUUUUUCCAGAAUGUUUGAGUUGGCCGAGGUCUGUAGCCUCAGUUGCCAUAGGGCUUUGGGCAGGGAGGGAAGCACGGCAAAACAGAUGGUUUUCUUGACUCCCUAAGCGAGGGGACAGGACUAAGGCCCGUUGAUGGCUUGCUACCUGUGGAGCAAUGAUCAGGUACUCAGUAGGUGGAUGAUGAGAAGACAGAGAACCAAACACAGGUUCCAACAGAGACCAGAAUCUUCUUGCUGCCUUUUCACUACCCUUUGGAGCAACAAUGGAAUCAGACAUCUCCACCAAAACUCUUGUCAAUGUGCUCUGUUUUUGACUGGUGGAUCCAGAAUUCCGAGUCACUGGAAGAUGGAAAGCCAGGAGAGCGGUCUGUUUGAGCAGCCCCUACUCAUUCAGCUCAAGCACUUUGUCAUACUCCUUUCAGAGAAGACCACAGCAAAUUUUACGUUAUAUGUAUUUUACUACAAUGCUUCUGUAAAAGUUAACAUCUGGGUUAAGAUUUGUUUUAAGUGUAAACAAUAUACCAAGUUUCAAAGAUUUGUUACCAAAAAUGUGUAAAAUAGGAAUUCUACACAUUGUUGAAUGUGUUUCAUUGUUGAAAUAAUAAUGUUUUAAAUACACUGGGUUAGAAUUAUAGUAUUAAAAUUAAUAUCACCUGUUUCUUUUUCCUUUUUCUAAUGUGGCAACCAGAAAACUUUAAAUCGUAUACGUGGCUUCCAUUGGAUUGCUGUUGGGCAGAGCCAGUCUAAUUCUUGUUUUGGGUGGUAGUUACCUGGUGAUAUGCAUUUGUCAAAACUCAUUGAACCGAA
Equus caballus (horse) is the source of this 10046-nucleotide non-coding RNA. The record is from RefSeq and is a predicted model, not a curated record. Lineage: Eukaryota; Metazoa; Chordata; Mammalia; Perissodactyla; Equidae.